Girardinichthys multiradiatus is the source of this 2235-nucleotide long non-coding RNA. RefSeq lists it as uncharacterized. Lineage: Eukaryota; Metazoa; Chordata; Actinopteri; Cyprinodontiformes; Goodeidae. The transcript has 2 exons. The record is from RefSeq and is a predicted model, not a curated record.
AACGAGCUGGAGGGAAUUAACUGCAGCAGAGCGUCCCUGUCUGUGGAGGCGAGGGGAACCUGAGCCUCGGCUGGAAUCCACUAGCAGUGGAGCAACAUGAGGUGCUCGUCCAUAGCCAUACCUCCCUGGGACAAUGUAUCCUCAUGGUGGAAACAUGAAUCGGUGAAGAAAUGCAGGGUUUCCCUCUGAAGACCUGGUGCAGGUCCAUGUGACCCAGUGAAGCCGUGCUGAGAGUUCUGGAUAAAUCAGACCAUAAGCUUUGGUUGCGGCUCUUCACGGAGACUCUGGCGGUUCUGCUUUUACGCGCAAACACAAGGACUGUGACAGAGAGCUGAAAACUGACACAGCAGAAGGAAAACACCCUCCACUGCGUCCCCUGUCUCAGCCAGCCUACUCCACUUUGUUCUUUGAGCUGUCAUGUAAAAAAUACGGAGGUGGGAGUCUCCUCCUGUUUUUUUUUCACUUGGAUUUGUCUGAGCGUGAAGGAAAAGCAGAGCAGUUUAGGGUUUUCAGCUGCUCAACCACAUCCACACUCUGACACUCCUUUUUCAACUGUAUAACAAAAGCAUUGCAUGCAAUAAAUUGCUCUAUCACAUGUUUGAGCCUAUAAAAGACAGAUUGCAUUGAGUGUUAUUUUGCUGCUCAGCCAGUGUGUCCAAAAACACUUAAUUGAUAACAAUGUCUUGUAAAAGCCUUCAUACCCCUUGAAGUUUUCCAUAUUCGCCACUUUAAUGUAUUCUAAUGGGACAAACACAAAUUUUUGCACAAUUGUGAAGUGGAAUAAAAAUGAUACAAGGUUUUUAUACAAAUAAAAAUCUGAAAAGUGUGGCAUACAUUCUUUAUUCAGCCCCCUGGGUAAACACUUUGUAAAGUCAUCUGUAAAACCUGUGGAAUACGUCUGGCUGAAGAGUCCCCCGAGCAUAAUGCUGCCACCACUGUGGGGAUACUGUUUUUGGGUGAGGACCAGUGUUACCAUUGCACCAAAUUUAAAGUUCUACAUGAAGAUCCAGAAGUUUAACUUAGAUCUCAUCUCACCAAAACACCUUCCUCCACAGAUUUCCUGCAACCUCUGCGUGACUUGUACCUAACUUAAAAUUUGACUUUUUCUGAUUUUCUUUUACCGAUCCUGAGAAAUAUUACUCGAUGCCAUUCCCGAUCUGUCCCAAAGGUGAUUGGUUUUAUUUCGGGUUAAUGGGUAAAAUGGCAGUCAACACCAGGCUUUCCAUGUUAAACAAUAUAAAUCAAAAAUGUAUCAAAAACAGCACAUGGACAACAUACCAUUUUCAAGUAUUGCCCUCCAAAAACAAGGCUCCAUGUACAUAUGUCUUUAAUGACAUCACAAGAGAGAUAAAGCAGUAGGACAGAGUUCUUUCAGGUAUGAUAAUUUCUUGUUGCAGUUCUUAUUUUCAUGUUUUUAAAUCAAAUUCCUCCUUCAAACAUUUUUAGCCAAAGCCUGUACAGUUGCCGCACAGCGUUUGAGCCUUAUGUGAGAACACCACAUGGAUUUCAGGAAAAUUUGCCAAGAAUAAAAACACAUGACAGCAGUAUGUGAAUAGAACCAAGUUAGACUGUCAUGGCCAGAUCUCAUUGUCAAAGUCCUACAGUUAUUGUUUCGAGCCAAGUCAUUAUAAAAAGCCACAUGCUUGGUUGAUGCGCUCCAAUGAGAAGAAUUUCAAGUCCUAGCGAUGCUCCCUGUAGAAGUGCUGCACCACAGGUUACUUCCGCAAAAAAUGAUUGCCAGGCAGACGGACUUAAAAUUAUCACAGUCAAUUCCCACACUGGAGACAUCAGAGGGAAAACCUGAGAAAAUAAUCUUGUCACUAGCACUGAAAUACAUCUUGAAUGCUUUGGAAUCUAUUUAGAAAUCUGUUAAAAGUUACUCAUCCUCCAUAGUGUGUUAUUACAAUAUCUAGUCUUGUGCCUCUUGUGAUGUCAUUGACUCAUCUACACACAAAGUAGAACUUGCCAUUUCUUUCUUCAGAGUGCUUUUUAAAAAUUUUGUAUUUUGUGUAACAUUUCACUGGACAGUAUCUUCAACGCACUUUGCUAGCCUUUGCAGAAUUGAGAAGACAAAAUGAUAUAUUUUAAGAAACUUGUUUUUUUUCCAUACUUGCUUCCAACCAGUUGCUUUUGGGCGGCAAACGAUAAGCUGUUAAUUGCACAUAUGUACAUUUUAUGGAAAUGCAACUGCAAUCAUUUCUAUGCAGGUCUGUGCAAAUAAAGGAUAUCAAAUAA